CAUCAACCAUCAAUAUAUCGCCAUCUUCGUCACAUUUCCUUGAGAUCCCUUUCUCUAAGGUCAUCAUCAACUUCGCUCAAGCCUAAGAAACGGGAUGGUGUUGUGGAUGCAAGAAUAAUAAUAUUAUCUUGAAAUUCUCUAUCACCAAUCUAACCAUCCAAAAUAACUUGCAGGUACUUUUUAGUUUUGUCUUCAUCUUCAUACUACAAUUUAUGUCGGCAGAGGGGACAAGUAUUACUCUAAUUGAGCCAAGGGACAAUACAACAAUUAUGAAAGAAAUGCUUACAAGGCAAUUGACUCACUUUCGAUUCAAUUACAAAUUCCUCCAUACAAGUCGAACAACUUUUUGAUGAUUCAUCGAUUUUCAUACGUGGGAGUGAAUCCACAAACAAUUUAAGAGUUGGAUAACAACACUGAGAUGGGUUAAAAAAACUCAAAAGAAUGAUCAUUGAAAUCGGUCAAAUCAACAUCGAAAUCAGAAGAAUCAAAAGUAAAAGAAUUGAGUGUUGAAGGGGCAAAAUUGACGGUAGAAGAUUGAGAAGGCAAUAUAAUAUUGAUAAUGGUGUAAUUAAGGAGGAGGUGGCGAUGAAAGCAUUAAGAGAAACGGAAGGAACCCAUCACCCGGAGGUGAUGGGGAUGAUGUGAAAGACAUCGUUGCAAUUGUAGCAUCCGUAAGAAAGACGGUUAGAGGCGGUGAAGAAGGUGGCUCCAUUGACAUGUAACUUUGUUAUUCUCUCUCCUCUUUUUUUUAUUAAAAAAAAACUUUUCUAACUUUUCUUAUUUUAAUUUUGUAGAAGGUCAUUAAUACCCUAAUGCGUUAUAUGGUUCAUGAAUAAGAUGGGA
RNAcentral lists this long non-coding RNA (843 nucleotides) under Capsicum annuum. RNAcentral's name for it is "long non-coding RNA (CANN_LNC000993)". Lineage: Eukaryota; Viridiplantae; Streptophyta; Magnoliopsida; Solanales; Solanaceae. The record is from RNAcentral.